Molecule: long non-coding RNA, 18073 nt
Filed under: Populus trichocarpa (black cottonwood)
Lineage: Eukaryota; Viridiplantae; Streptophyta; Magnoliopsida; Malpighiales; Salicaceae
Description: long non-coding RNA (PTRI_LNC001412)
Source: RNAcentral
UGCAGAAGCCAUCUAGUAAAAUCACAUAAGUCACCAAAUUUGGAUGCGGGCCAUAAGAACACAUCUCCUUGAAAAGAUUGAGAGCUUCCUUAGGUCUUCCUAAUUGGCACAGACCUUGCAUAAGAGUGCUGUAGGUGACAGUAUCAGGAUUCAAUGCUUUAUGAUACAUUUCAGCAAGGAGUGAUUUUGCCUCAUCCAUCCUUCUACUUUUGCAAUAUCCAUUGAUCAAGAUGUUGUAACUAUGUGCACCAGGUGCACAACCCUUGCGAAUCAUGAUUUCAAACACCUUCUUGGCCUCAUUCAUUAGGCGCUGCAAACAGUACCCAUCCAUCAAAGCAUUGUAAGUGGAAAUAUCUGGCUCUACACCUUUUUCAGUCAUUGUUUCAAAGACAAGCCGAGCUUCUGAAACCAUUCCUUCUUUGCACAGCCCAUCAACCAAAAUAGUGAGGGUCACUGUAUCUGGCAUAACAUCCCUGCCAACCAUUUCUUUGAACAAUCUAGUAGCUUCAUUCAGUUGUCCUAAAAUGCAAAAACCAUGGACCAUGCAGUUGUAAGUAAAAACAUUUGGUGGAAUGCCCCGAUCCAGCAUUUCAGAUAAGAAUUCCAUGGCGUCAUUUACUAGCCUAUCUUUGCAAAGGUUGUCUAUGAUUGUAUUAUAUGUCACCACAUCUGGCUUGCACCCAUUUGGUUCCAUCUUCUUGAACACGUGAACAGCCACAUUUCUGUUGCCAGAUUUGAACAAACCUUUGAUUAUAGUAUUAUAGCUAAUCACAUUAGGCUCAUGCCCUCUCCGUAACAUCUCAUUAAACAAUCCUCCUGCCUCUUUAAUCUUUCCCUCAUUGCAGAGACCAUUAAUGAGUGCAUUGAAUGUGCUAGCAGUGGGAUGAAUACCCAGUUUGAACAUUUUACCCAAGAUAGAGACAGCAAAAUCAACAUGGUUCAAGCGACAAAGGCAGUUAAUCAAUACAUUUAGAGAAUAAACAUUGUGGGUAACACCGAACAAAUCCAUUUGAUUGCACAAAGAGACAACAGUUGAAUACUGUUUCUUUUUAGCGAAGGACCCUAGGAAUUUGCCAAAUUCCGCAACAGAUGGCCUAGGAUUCAUGCGGACCAUGCGAUAGAAUGAAGCCAAAGCAUCAUCAAUACUGAUGUUAGUGCUAUUAUUACUAACAAACCCACCAUUGUUUUGAGGCAAAGAAGGUUUCCUAGUACAAGCAGAAGUGGAGAUGUGGUGAUGAUUGAAGAAUAAGAAAGAAGAAGGAAAGAUACCCAUUUCCAUAUGUUGUUGAAGAAUCCGAAAAUCAGAAGCAGUAGCUCUAUAAGCGCUUUUCCGCGUGAACAUCAUCAUUGUUAGGUUAAAAAGCUGCGUUGUCUCUGACUGUUCCUCACCUCCUUCAAAGCCGAAGAUGAAAGCUUUUCCAAUCUACUCUCUGUCUCUUUCUUAAGCUAUACACUUGUUGCUUUGACUUUCUAUCAUUUCCCCUUGAACAAAUCAUAUUGCAAAACAAAUUUGGAGUCCUUAAAUUGUUAUCAUAUAUAUUAAAAGAGUUUUUUUUAAUUGUAAUAAUAUUUAUUUUUAAAGUAUAUUUUAUUUAAAAAUAUAUUAAAAUAAUUUUUUUAUAUUUUAUAAAAUUUAUUUUUUACUUCACUUGAUUAAAACGAUAUAAAAUUAUUUAAAAAAAUUAAAAUAAAAAAAAUAAGAAUCAAUUUAAAAAAAUACUUUUAAAACACAAAAACAGAAUGUUUUUAAAUAAGUAAUCUAUAUAUGGAAAGUUUUAUGUUGUGGUUUUAGUAAUUUUUGAUAUUUUAUUUGUUAUGUUUUGUGGUUUGUUUUGAUAAAAAAAAUUGGAUAUAAGAAAAAUAAAGAAAAUAAAAUCUAUGAUCCACAUAAAAUAAUAAGAAUAUUUUCACUUGUGAAUUAUCUCUUAUACUUGUAUCUUUUUUUUUAAAGUAGAUUCAGAGUAAUUAAUAAAUAAAUACUAGUUAGUCUCCGAGCACAAUAAAUUUUAUUAUGUAUGUAAUGUUUUAUAUGAACAAUGUUAUUUUUUUUAUUUUGAUUAUUGAACUUUUUUAAUUGUAAUUUCAUCCUCUAAAAUUAAAUUAGCAAAUUUUUAUAUGUUCAGAUUUCUUUUGAUUUGUAUUUUUAUAUAUAUACAAAAUGUAUAAGGAUAUUAUGGUAAUGAAUUAACACAAAUUAUAUUGAUCUCUUUUAAGCAUUAUUAAACUAAAAAAAAACAUAGAAAAAUAUCAAUCAUUAUAUAAAAAUAAAUGGAACAUUAAUUAAUAUUUAAAUAAAAAUAAUUAACAUAAAAGAAAAAAAAAAGAUCAGAUGACAAUGACCUUAGUCUUUCAUAAAAAAGCCUACCCCAGCGUGACUAAUAUUUUAUUUUUUUAUCUUAUUUUUGGAGCAAAUAUAAUAUUGUUUACUCUAGUUAUUUUUUAUUGUAACAAACAACAAGUCAUCUGUUAUGAUAGGUGAUUGUCAGCUACUAAAUUGUUUUUUGAUCACCUCCUAUGAUAAAAAAAUCAGUGUUUAAGUAUUUGGAUUCUAAAAAUUCAUUUUUCUAUUUGUUUUUACCUGAAAACAUCUAAAACAAUCUCACAUGAAAUGCAAUAAACUCGUUCCUAGCUCCAAAACACACUCUAAUCACUUUAAAAAAAUAAUUAAAUGAAAAAAAAAAUAAUGAACCGGAUCAAUUUUUUUCCGGCAUGGUUAUAGAAAAAAUCACCUUCAUUGAACUUUUCUCAAAAAGACGAACCUAUUGAUACAAAUAUCAAUAUUUUUUAUAGUUGGAAUAUGAUCAUCUGAGUAUUUUCUCUCUUUUUAAAAUUUUUGGAUUGAUUUUCUCUCUCCUUUCUUAAUAUAUAGGUAGUGUUUGAUUAUUUUUUCAAGGCAGAAGAGACAUAGGAAAAGAAGAAAGAAAAGAAGACGAAGAGAGAAUUGUGUUUGACAAUGAUGUAAGACAAACCGAUUAUAUUUAUAUUAUGUUUGGUUAUGGUGCACACGAUAUAAGAAAAUAUGAAAAAAUCUAUUUUAUUCUUAAUGUGUAUUGUUGUUAAAUUUACAUAUUUUAAAAAAUAUUUAGAUUUUUUUUUAAUUUAGUUUAUAUUAAGUGAUGAAAUUAAUAAUGUUAUAAUAACUUUAGUUACAAAACUAGGACUAAUCUAACAGGUUGACCCGAAAUCAGGUCAACCUGGGAUCUAGACUGUCUGAGUUUAAGAAGAAAUAGAUAAAAGAUUGACUCAACCUAACCUGAUAAAAAACUCAUGUCAACCCGAGAUAGAACAUGAGUCAAAAACUCGUUGAAUUUUUUGAAAAUUAUUUUUGGUCGAAAGAAGGUUGCUUAGAUUAUUUUUUUAAAAAAAUUGGGUUAAAUGAGUUAACUAUCCCGACUCGUGACCUGAAUCUUAUCUUGAAUUAAGUUUUAAGAUUAUAAUAAUUAUUAUUUUUAUUUAUAUAGUGACUCGGACCAACCCAUGAUAAACAACUGAUUCAUGACUUGGGCCUCACCCUGGUCAAUCAUGAGUCUUUUUCCACUCAACCCCGUGACUCUUCCUCAACUCUGGGUGUCUUGAGUCCAGCUUUGCCUGAACCAUUUAUGAAAGGAACCCAAUGGGCAAUGGACCGUUUUUCUUUUUAUUUGAAGCCCAGGACUAUAUACCCUUGUUGACUUUCACUCGCUUUCUUGUUCAAUAUGACCACGAGUCAAGGGGAAAGAGGGAGUCUGGGGUAUAAAUAGUGUUCAUUGAACAACAUGGAUAAAUGGAGUGUGUUGGUGAAACACAAUGAUAUAAUUAAACUUUCCAUUGGCAGAAUAUCUGCUUGUAAAUUAUGAAAUCUAAUAAUAGGAUUGGUGGCAAUGCAGGAUAAACAGCUCUGGAUCAGCAGCAGAUUGAACUUCUUGGUUUCGUGCUUGUCUUUGGAGAGGGGGGACGGGAUGGCAGAAGAAUAAAAAACCACACCCAUCCCUGGUUCCCCAUGGAGAAAUGAAGUUUCUGAUGAUGGAUUGAGCUCGUACAUACGUUUUCCAAUACCCUGCAGUUGCAUUGAUAGAAAAGUUAGUUGAUCACUGCUGGUUUCCCGAUCUGAAGUUCCAAGAUGUUAAUUGUUCGAGAAGCCAGCUUGUAGAUCAUCAUGAUCUUAUUUAAGCAAUUAAGUGGCUUGUAGAUCAUCAUGAUCUUAUUUAAAUAUUUUUUUAGAUAUCCAUAGAAGAUAGCUUUGAAUAGUUGGUAAAAAAAUCGGGUUAAUAAGAUGUUAGUGAUAAGUAGUUCAAGUUAAGCAUGAAAGUCAGAAAAAAUAUUUAUCCAAUUGUUAAAAAAAUUAUUUUGUAUAAUGAUAUUUAAAAAUAAGAAUUUUGGUAUCUUUAUUGAGUUAUUAAAAUUGUCAAAAUUACAUUAGUCAUUGACUUAAAUUUCUUUUUCUUGCUCAUGAAUGGAUGAUUCUAAAUUUGAAAAUUUAACUUCUCAAUUAUUCGAUCCUAUCUUUUAAUAUCAGUGAUGUAACAACAAUUUUCUAACAAUCCAGUGCCAAAAACAGAUCCCAGGAAGCCACCCUUGAUGUUGCAGAUCAUUCAUUAAAGUUAAAGAACAGAGUAUCGUUAUAACUCACAAGAGGCUCAUCAGCCUACAACGUCACUUGAUAGGAAAAUGUCACUUUAUUUUUCUACCUGGGGAGCUUCCACGCAUAAAUUGGCUUAUGAUUUCAUCUUGAGAUUCUAAAUCCAGUAACAUCUGAACUGUAGACGAAUCCGCCGAGAAUCUUUUACCAACCAUUUCAUCAAUAAGUCGUAUAGCACUUGAUGAGUCCUGAUUUUGAAGAAAUCCUUGAAUGAUAACAUUAUAUGAGCAACUGUUUGGCAAGAAGCCAUCAUCUUCCAUUUUUCUAAAUAAAUCGUAUGCUUCAUCUGACAGCCCUUCUUUCAGCAGUCCCUUGAUCAUGACAGUGUAUGUCCGUAUAUCAGGUCGUAUUCCAUCCCCAAAAAGCUUGGAAAAUAAUUCCUUCGCAACUUCAAGCUUCCCAGCGAUAAACAUGCCUUCAAUAAGGAUAGUAUAAUGGACAAUAUUAGGUUCUAGAUUCUUCUCUUGCAUUGACUUGAGCAGUUUUAAUGCCUCAUCCAAAUGCCCAUGUUUGCAGAAGCCAUCUAGUAAAAUCGAGUAAGUCACCAAAUUUGGAAGCAGGCCAUAAGAACACAUCUCCUUGAAAAUAUUUAGAGCGUCCUUAGGUCUCCCAAAUUGGCACAGACCUUGCAUAAGAGUGCUGUAGGUGACAGUAUCAGGAUUCAAUGCUUUAUGAUACAUUUCAGCAAGCAGUGAUUUUGCCUCGUCCAUCCUUCUACUUUUACAAAAUCCAUUGAUCAAGAUGUUGUAACUAUGUGCACCACGUGCACAACCCUUGCGAAUCAUAAUUUCAAACACCUCCUUGGCCUCAUUCAUUUGGCGCUGUAAACAGUACCCAUCCAUCAAAGCAUUGUAAGUGGAAAUAUUUGGCUCUACACCUUUUUCAGUCAUUGUUUCAAAGACAUGCCGAGCUUCUGAAACCAUUCCUUCUUUGCACAGCCCAUCAACCAAAAUAGUGAAGGUCACUGUAUUUGGCAUAACAUCCCUACCAACCAUUUCUUUGAACAGUCUAGUAGCUUCAUUCAGUUGUCCUAAAUUGCAAAAACCAUGGACUAUGGAGUUGUAAGUAAAAACAUUUGGUGGAAUGCCCCGAUCCAGCAUUUCAGAUAAGAAUUCCAUGGCGUCAUUUACUAGCCUAUCUUUGCAAAGGUUGUCUAUGAUUGUAUUAUAUGUCACCACAUCUGGCUUGCACCCAUUUUGUUCCAUCUUCUUGAACACGUCAACAGCCAUAUUUCUGUUGCCAGAUUUGAACAAACCUUUGAUUAUAGUAUUAUAGCUAAUCACAUUAGGCUCAUGCCCUCUCCGUACCAUCUCAUUAAACAAUCCUACUGCCUCUUUAAUCUUUCCCUCAUUGCAGAGACCAUUAAUGAGUGCAUUGAAUGUGCUAGCAGUGGGAUGAAUACCCAGUUUGAACAUUUUACCCAAGACAGAGACAGAAAAAUCAACAUGGUUCAAGCGACAAAGGCAGUUAAUCAAUAUAUUUAGAGAAUAAACAUUGUGGGUAACACCGAACAAAUCCAUUUGAUUGCACAAAGAGACAACAGUAGAGUACUGUUUUUUUUUGGCAAAGGAGCCUACGACUUUAACAUAUUCCGCAACAGAAGGCCUAGGAUUCAUGCGGACCAUGCGAUAGAAUGAAGCCAAAGCAUCAUCAAUACUGAUGUUAGUGCUAUUAUUACUAACAAACCCACCAUUGUUUUGAGGCAAAGAAGGUUUCCUAGUACAAGCAGAAGUGGAGAUGUGGUGAUGAUUGAAGAAUAAGAAAGAAGAAGGAAAGAAACCCAUUUCCAUAUGUUGUUGAAGAAUCCGAAAAUCAGAAGCAGUAGCUCUAUAAGCGCUUUUCCGCGUGAACAUCAUCAUUGUUAGGUUAAAAAGCUGCGUUAUCUCUGACUGUUCCUCACCUCCUUCAAAGCCGAUGAUGAAAGCUUUUCCAAUCUACUCUGUGUCUUUCUUAAGCUAUACACUUGUUGCUUUGACUUUCCAUCAUUUCCCCUUGAACAAAACAUAUUGCAAAAAAAUUCUGAGUCCUUAAAUCGUUAUCAUAUAUAUUAAUUUUUUUUUUAAUUAUAAUAAUGUUUAUUUUUUAAAGAAUUUUUUAUUUAAAAAUAUAUUAAAAUAUUAUUUUUAUUUUUAAAUUUUUUUUAAACUUACGAUAUAAAAUUAUUUAAAAAAAUUAAUUUAAAAUUAAAAAAAUUAAAAAUCAAUAUUUUAAAAAAACAAUUUGAAACACAAACCGUUUCUAAAAAAAUGAUCUACGCAUAGAAAAUUUUAUGUUGUGGUUUAUUUGUUAUAUUUUUGUGGUUUAUUUUGAAAAAACAAAUAUAGGUAUAAGAAAAAUAAAAAAAAAAAUUUAUGAUCCACCAAAAACAAUAAAAUAUAUUCUCACUCAUAAUUUAUCUCUUAUACUUGUAUCUUUUUAUUUCUUUUAAGUAGAUUUGAGAGAGUAAUUAAUAAAUACAUACUAAUUACUUUCCACAUUAACAAUGUUAUUUUUUUUUAUUUUGAUUAUCAAACUUUUUUAAUUGCAAUUUCAUCCUCUAAAAUUACAUUACCAGGUUUUUAUAUGUUGAGAUUUCUUUUGAUUUGUAUUUUUUUAUAUAAACAAAAUGUCUAAGGAUAUUCUGAUAAUGAAUUAACACAAAUUAUAUUAAUCUUUUUUAAGCAUUAUAAAACUAAAAAAAAACAUAGAAAAAUAUCAAUCAUUAUUUAAAAAUAAAUGGGACAUUAAUUAAUAUUUAAAUAAAAAUAAUUAAUAUGAAAGAAAAAAAAAGAUUAGACGACGAUGACCUUGGCCUUUCAUAAAAAAGCCUACCCCAGCCUGCCUGGUAGUUUAUUGUUUUUAUCUUAUUUUUGGAGAAAACGUAAUAUUGUAUGCUCUAGUUAUUUUUUUAUUGUAAUAAACAACAAAUCAUCUACUAUGAUAGGUGAUUGUCAACUAUUAAAUAGUUUUUUGAUUACCUCCUAUGAAAAGAAAAUCAGUGUUUAAGUAUUUGGAUUCUAAAAAUUCAUUUUUCUAUUCGUUUUUACCUGAAAACAUCUAAAACAAUCUCACAUGAAAUGCAUUAAACUCGUUCCUAGCUCCAAAACACCCUCUAAUUACUCUAAAAAAAUAAUUAAAUGAAGAAAAAAAUAAUGAACCUUGAUCAACUUUUUUUCGGCAUGGUUAUAGCAAAAAUCACAUUCAUUGAACUUUUUUCAAGAAGACGAAUCUAUUGACACAAAAAUCAAUAUUUUUUGUAGUUGGAAUAUGAUCAUAUGAGUAUUUUCUCUCUUUAAAUUUUUAUCUCUCUCCUAUCUUAACAUAUAGGUAGUGUUUGAUUAUUUUUCCAGGAUAGAAGAGACAUAGGAAAAGAAGAAAGAAAAAAGGACAAAGCGAAUUGUGUUUGACAGUGAUGUACAAGAUAAACCGACUAUAUUUAUAUCAUGUUUGGUUAUGGUGCGCACAAUAUAAUAAAAUAUAAAAAAUUUAUUUUAUUCUUAAUAUGUAUUGUUGUCAAAUUUACAUAUUUUAAAAAAUAAUUAAAUUUUUUUUUACUUUAGUUUAUAUUAAGUGAUGAAAUUGAUAAUAUUAUAAUAAUUCUAGUUACAAAACUAGAACUAAUCUAACAGGUUGACCCGAAAUCACGUCAACCCGAGGUCUAAACUAUCUGAGUUUAAGAAGAAAUAUAUAAAAGAUUGACUCGACCUAACCUGAUCAAAAACUCAGGUCAACCCGAGAUAUAACAUAGGUCAAAAACUUGUUGAAUUUUUUAAAAAUUAUUUUUUAUCGGAACAAGAUUGCUUUGAUUAUUUUUAAAAAAAGAUUGGGUUAACCGAGUUAACCUUCCCAACCUGUAAUCUAAACUUUGCCUUGAGUUAAGUUUUAAAAUUAUGAUAAUAAUUAUUUUUAUUUAUGUAGUAACUCGAAUCAACCCACGAUAACCAUCCGUCCCAUAACUUGGACCUUACCCUGCUCAAUCAUGAGUUGACUUUUAAAACUAUUAUUGUAAUAAUAAUAAUAAUUUUUUUUUUCCUUAUUGCACCUCCAGCUAAGUCUUAAUUGGCCCCGCCUUAUUUGCAAUGCCUUGCUAUUAACACAUGAUGUAUGAUGAGGUAGGUUAGGUGCUAGAUAAGCAUUCCCACCAUCAUGCUUGAGAAACAGUAUAACAUGAUCAAUACCAGAAACAGGCAUCUUGUAUCAGGGUUUGGCUCUUGCUUUCGUUACUUUUUUGAAUCAUUCCUAUGUUAGGAUUAGUUGAGGUCACAAUGUUAGGUGCAAAUUCAAAACUUGGAAUACCUAUUUUAAGAUUAGAAAAUUCAUCAAAUAAUGGAAAACAAGACUGGUUAUUGUAUGCAUUGAAGUUAAAGAUCUUUGUAUUGUGAUAACUCACAAGAGGUACAGCAGCCUGCAAUGUCACUUGAUAGGAAAAUGUCACUUCAUUUUUCUACCUCGAGAGCUUCCACGCAUAAAUCGGCUUAUGAUUUCAUCGUGGGAUUCCAGAUCCAGUAACAUCUGAAAUGUAGUUGAAUCCGCUGAGAAUCCUUUACCAACCAUUUCAUCAAUAAGUCGUACAGCAGUUGAUGAGUCCCGAAUUUGAAGAAACCCUUGAAUGAUAACAUUAUAAGAGCAACUGUCCGGCAUGAAGCCAUCAUCUUCCAUUUUUCUAAAUAAUCUGUAUGCUUCAUCUGAUAGCCCUUCUUUAAGAAGACCCUUGAUCAUGACACUGUAUGUAUGUACAGUAGGUCGUAUUCCAUCGACAAAAAGCUUCGAAAAUAGUUCCUUUGCAACUUCAAGCUUCCCAGCGAUAAACAUGCCUUCAAUAAGAAUGGUAUAAAAGACGAUAUCAGGUUCUAAUUUCUUCUCUUGCAUUGACUUGAGCAGUUUUAAUGCCUCAUCCAAAUGUCCAUGUUUCCAGAAGCCAUCUAGCAAAAUCGAGUACGUCACCAAAUUUGGAAGCAGGCCAGUAGAACACAUCUCCUUGAAAAGAUUUAGAGCUUCCUGAGGUCUCCCUACUUGGCACAGGCCUUGCAUAAGAGUGCUGUAAGUGACAGUAUCAGGAGUCAAUUCUUUUUCAGACAUUUCAGCAAGGAGUGACUUUGCCUCGUCCAUCAUUCUACUCUGGCAAUAUCCAUUGAUCAAGAUGUUGUAACUAUGUACAACAGGUACACAACCCUUGCGAACCAUGAUUUCAAAAACCUUCUUGGCCUCAUUCAUUUGGUGUUGUAAACAGUACCCAUCCAUCAAAGCAUUGUAAGUGUAAAUAUUUGGCUCUACACCUUUUUCAGUCAUUGUUUCAAAGACACACCGAGCUUCUGAAACCAUUCCUUCUUUGCACAGCCCAUCAACCAAAAUAGUGAAGGUCACUGUAUCUGGCAUAACAUCCCUGCCAACCAUUUCUUUGAACAAUCUAGUAGCUUCAUUCAGUUGUCCUAAAUUGCAAAAACCAUGGACUAUGGAGUUGUAAGUAACAACAUUUGGUGGAAUGCCCCGAUCCAACAUUUCAGAUAAGAAUUCCAUGGCGUCAUUUACUAGCCUAUUUUUGCAAAGGUUGUCUAUGAUUGUAUUAUAUGUCACAACAUUUGGCUUGCACCCAUUUUGUUCCAUCUUCUUGAACACGUCAACAGCCAUACUUGUGUUGCCGGUUUUGCACAAACCAUUGAUUACAGUAGUAUAGCUAAUUACAUUGGGCUCAUGCCCUCUCUUUACCAUCUCAUUAAACAACUCUACUGCUUCUUUAAUCUUUCCCUCAUUGCAGAGCCCAUUAAUGAGUGCAUUGAAAGUGAUAGCAUCGGGAUGAAUACCAAGUUUGAACAUCUUGCCCAAGACAGAGACAGAAAAAUCAACAUGGUUCAAGCGACAAAGGCAGUUAAUCAAUAUAUUUAGAGAAUAAACAUUGUGGGUGACUCGAAACAAAUCCAUUUGAUUGCACAAAGAGACAACAGUAGAGUACUGUUUUUUUUUGGCAAAGGAGCCUAAGAAUUUGCCAAACUCCACAGCAGAAGGUCUAGGAUUGAUGCGGACCAUGCGAUAGAAUGAAGCCAAGGCAUCAUCAACACAAACGUUAUUGCUAUUAUUACUAACAAACCCAUCAUUGUUUUUAGGCAAAGAAGGUUUCUUUGUAGAAGUAGAAGUAAGAAAGUGGUGAUGAUUGAAGAAUAAGAAACAAGGGAAAUCAGGAAGAAAAGGAGAGAUACCCAUUUCCAUUUGUUGUUGUUGAAGCUGAAAAGCAGAAGCAGAAGCUCUAAAAGCGCUUUUCCGCAUGAACACCGUCAUUGUUAGGUUAAAAAGAUGCUGUCUCUCUGACUGUUCCUCUCCACCUUCGAAGCCGAAGAUAAAGGCUUUUCCACUCAACCCCGUGACUCGUCCUCAAUUCUGGGUGUCUUGUCUUCCGCUUCGCCUGAACCGUUUAUGAAAGGAACCCAAUGGGCAAUGGACCGUUCUACUCUUAACUAAUCUUCUAAAAAUACUCGAAUUAUUUUAAAAAAUUAAAAAUAUUCUUAAAUUAACAAACAUUUCAACAUUAAACCCUUUAAAAAAAAAAAAAACAAUCAUAUAAAUGCGUAGCCUUUGUAUUCGAUUAAGUCACGUUUAGUAUUUCAUUCCAUAUCAGAUUGGAAUUGGACAAAUUAAUUAUAUAAUAUAAAUUAAUUUUUUUAUACUUUUUUAUAUUUUAAUGUAUUAAUAUUAAGAAUAAUUUUUAAAAAUUUAAAAAAUAUUAUUUGAAUAUAUUUACCAUAAAAACAAUAUUUUAAAAAAUAACUACUGUCAAACUGUUAAUCACUUUUAAAUAAAAUAUAGUUAAUAAUUAAUUUAUCUUUAUUAUGAAUAGAAACGUUUUGAAAAUUAAUUUUUUUUAAAUAAAUUAUUUAAAAUUAUUUUUAUAUGUUUUUGAAUUAUUUUAAUGUGUUGAUAUUAAAAAUAAUUUUAAAAAAUUAAAAAAAAUAUUAUUUUAAUAUAUUAAAAAAAAACUGUUUGCGUAACCGUUUUUACUUCUCAAAGCCUGGGGUAAAUAUCUGUCCAAUUGCUUCAAGUACAGAAACAUUCCAUAGCAAACUGUCAAAAUGUAUAUAUAUGGAUCAAUGCUGUGUUUUUUUAAAAUAUUUUGGGCUUGUGAAAAUAUUAAUUAAUUAAUUUAUUUUUAUUGUUUUUUAAUAUUUUUAAUAAAUUGAUAUUGAAAAUUAAAAAAAAACUGAAAAAAAAUUAUUUUUAUAUAAAAAACUAUUUUAGAAAGUAAUUUGCACUGCAAUCUCAAGUACUUGAAAAAAUGCUGCCGUGGAAUGUGUAACUGGGAAAUAUUUUGUAAGAAACAAGAAGUUCCAAAUCCAUGGAGCAGGGCCAGCCUAAUCAGAAAAUAAAACGCCCAAAAGCCCUUAAAAUCCUAAGAACGGGAGAUCAAUAUUCUUCUAGUCUUUGGAUUUGAAGAAAAAAAGAAACAACUUUACUCUGUUCUUGCACCGAAACCCUCAGCUAACAGAAUUUCCUUAAAAGUAAACACUGAAACACCUCAGAAAGAACAUGAAAUUUACAGACACAUUUCAAAGUAGCAUGUUGGGUUUGGGAAAUCGAUAAAAGAACAUGACAUUCUAUGUAGAGCAGAAGUUAUGAAAUAAACUUUAAAAUCAAGGGAAAAUAGUUUUAUCCAGUCAGUUCUCAAUCAUCACUCCACAUUUCCCAAACUAUGCUCUGUUUAUAUAAUAAGCUGGGAUGACGAUAUAGCUAUAUGAUGCCUAAAAUAGUGCUGCUCCCUGUCAAAUACAUCAGGGAUUGGCUCAAAUAAUGCCAGCUGCUUUAAAGCUGAAACUCUAUGCGAAUAAGCAGUUUUAAUUUUUCUGUGAUACCAACUUUAAGUUUUUGAAGAAUGGUUACCUUCUCAAUGUUCUGCAAUCCAAUUGAUGAGAAUCAAAGAAGGGAACCAGCAACUUCAAAUUGAGGGAAUACAACUAUUUAUCAGAUUUCACGGUUUAAGUUUUAGGAUUAAGAUAAUAUUUAACUCAAGAUUAAAGAUAUAAUCUUCUUUGAAGGCUCGAAAGCUGCUGCAUACAAUUUGGCAUUAAUCAAAGGAACGACAAGAUGUUCUAAUGGCAAGAAUCCUUCUUAAAUCUCCUCACCUCAUUUUCUGCAGAAUUGCAGUUUAAUCCUGAUCGAGCAAAUGAAUAAUGUACCUGGUCAAUACUGUACAAACACUUCAUUUAGCCAAGAAGAAUAGAACAACAGCAAAGCUUAAAGGAGUUGAGCAAGCCUUGUUACACGAUGGGUGGAGAGACAAGUCUCCUUGUACAGCAACAAGAAGAAUUAAUUGAGACUGAGAAAUGAGAAGCAGCACGCAGGACUUUUUGCGAGUGUAUACCAUAAAGACAAGCAGCCAUCCACUUAAAACAACCUGUCUGCAGACUCUGGAAAUCAAAACCUGAAUCAAACAAUUCGAGUACCAUGCAAAUGACCACUUGAAAUGCAUAAAACAACCUCAGCUUGUGCUACUGCUUCUGUAGAGUCCUCUUUCCAAGAAAACCGUUAAAACUGUAGAUUUUCAUGAUGAUGGCAACCGAGGUAUCCUCCACCAUUUCCGCAUGUGUUCUAAAAUUGUAGAUUCUCGGGAUAGAUUAGACUCUACCAACCAGUUCUCUCUACAGAUAGACUGCCAGCCUUGUCAACAGCACAUUCAGAUCAGCUCCAAGAGAACCUGCUGUAACUUGGAUAAAAGAAUAAGAUGAAGAGAACCCUCGAGUUCACUUUUUUGAAUCAUUCCUUUGCUAGGAUUAGUAGAGGUCACAAUGUUAGUAGCAAAUUCAAAACUUGAAAUGCCUAUUUCAAGUUACAAAAUUCAUCGCAUAAAGGAAAACAAGACUGGUUACUGUACACUCUGUACUUUAUACACAGAUUCAAGUCAAUGCACAAUGCAAGGUGAGCUCUAGUGCCAAAAACAGAUCCCUAGAAGUCACCCUGGAUGUUACAAACAAUUCAAUAGAGUUAAGGAACUGAGUACUGUGAUACCUAACAAGUGGUUAAGCAGCCUACAACGUCACUUGAUAGGGAAAUGUCACUUCAUUUUUCUAUCGACAGCUUCCACGCAUAAAUCGACUUAUGAUUUUAUCAUGAGAUUCCAGAUCCAGUAACAUCUGAAAUGUAGACGAAUCUGCCGAGAAUCUCCUACCAACCAUUUCAUCAAUAAGUCGUAUAGCAGUUGAUGAGUCCUGAUUUUGAAGAAAUCCUUGAAUGAUAACAUUAUAUGAGCAACUGUCCGGCAAGAAGCCAUCAUCUUCCAUUUUUCUAAAUAAAUCGUAUGCUUCAUCUGACAGCCCUUCUUUCAGCAGUCCCUUGAUCAUGACAGUGUAUGUCCGUAUAGUAGGCCGUAUUCCAUCAGCAAAAAGCUUGGAAAAUAGUUCCUUUGCAACUUCAAGCUUCCCAGCGAUAAACAUGCCUUCAAUAAGAAUAGUAUAAAGGACGAUGUUAGGCUCUAGUUUCUUCUCUUGCAUUGACUUGAGCAGUUUUAAUGCCUCAUCCAAAUGCCCAUGUUUGCAGAAGCCAUCUAGUAAAAUCGAGUAAGUCACCAAAUUUGGAAGCAGGCCAUAAGAACACAUCUCCUUGAAAAGAUUUAGAGCGUCCUUAAGUCUCCCAAAUUGGCACAGACCUUGCAUAAGAGUGUUGUAGGUGACAGUAUCAGGUGUCAAUGCUUUAUGAUACAUCUCAGCAAGGAGUGAUUUUGCCUCAGCCAUCCUUCUACUUUUGCAAAAUCCAUUGAUCAAGAUGUUGUAACUCUGUACAUCAGGUGCACAACCCUUGCGAACCAUGAUUUCAAACACCUUCUUGGCCUCAUUCAUUUGGCGCUGUAAACAGUACCCAUCAAUCAAAGCAUUGUAAGUGUAAAUAUUUGGCUCUACACCUUUUUCAGGCAUUGUUUCAAAGACACGUUGAGCUUCUGAAACCAUUCCUUCUUUGCACAGCCCAUCAACCAAAAUAGUGAAGGUCACUGUAUCUGGCAUAACAUCCCUACCAACCAUUUCUUUUAACAAUCUAGUAGCUUCAUUCAGUUGUCCUAAAUUGCAAAAACCAUGGACUAUGGAGCUGUAAGUAAUAACAUUUGGUGGAAUGCCCCUCUCCACCAUUUCAGAUAAGAAUUUCAUGGCAUCAUUAACUAGCCUAUCUUUGCAAAGGCUGUCUAUGAUUGUACUAUAUGUCACCACAUCUGGUUUACACCCAUGUUGUUCCAUCUUCUUGAACACGUCAACAGCCAUACUUGUGUUGCCAGUUUUGCACAAACCAUUGAUUAUAGUAUUAUAGCUAAUUACAUCGGGCUCAUGCCCUUGCCGUACCAUCUCAUUAAACAACUCUUCUGCCUCUUUAAUCUUUCCCUCCAUACAGAGCCCAUUGAGUAGAGUAGUGAAUGUGAUAACAUCAGGCUGAAUACCCAGUUUGAACAUUUUACCCAAGACAGAGACAGCAAAAUCAACAUGGUUCGAGCGACAAAGGCAGUUAAUCAAUAUAGUUAGAGAAUAAACAGUGUGGGUAACACCGAACAAAUCCAUUUGAUUGCACAGAGAGACAACAGUAGAAUACUGUUUCUUUUUGGCAAAGGACCCUAAGAAUUUGCCAAAUUCCACAACAGAAGGCCUAGGAUUCACGCGGACCAUGCGACAGAAUGAAGCCAAGGCAUCAUCAAUACUAAUGUUAUUGCUAAUAUCACUAACAACCCCACCACUUUUUUUAGGCAAAGAAGGUUUCUUAGUACAAGAAGAAGUUGCGAAGUGGUGGUGAUUGAAGAAUAAGAAUGGGAAAUCAGGACGAAAAGGAAAGAUACCCAUUUCCAUAAGUUGUUGUUGAAGCUGAAAAGCAGGAGCAGAAGAAGCAGUAGCUCUAAAAGCGCUUUUCCGCAUGAACAUCAUCAUUGUUAGGUUAAGAAGAUGCUGUCUGUCUUACUGUUCCUCUCCUCCUUCGAAACCGAAGAUGAAAGCUUUUCCACUCAACUCCGUAUCUCUCUCUCAAUUCUGGGUGUCUUGCCUUCUUGGGUUCAGCUUCGCCAGAACCAUUUAUGAAAGGAACCCAAAGGGCAAUGGACCAUUUUACUUUUUAUUUGAAGCCCAAAACGUUAUACACUUGUUGUCUUUCACUUUAUAUCAUUUCACCCUUGGUAUGUACUAUGUACAUGAACAUACGAGAAACUUUGGCUCUUGCUUUCAUCACUUUACCUGAUGCAUCUUAGCAGCCAAGCCAUAACCAGACAGGGUUACAAAGAAAGUAGCUCUAUGAUCAUCUCCAAGCAUGCCAAUCCAUGAUGUUUUAAAAGUAAGACAGGCUUCUAGUAGAAAACUUGGCAUCUCUAUAUCAUAAAAAUGGGAGAAUCUGUAGAAGAAUCCUUCACAUCUCCACUGGUAUUGCCUCACAAAACUGAAGUUACGCAGUUCACAGUUGUAGUGCAUUGAUCAUAAAAUCAGAACUGUUAAAACUAUCUUCCAUCAAUAAUACUGUCUCUUUUUUGCUUCCAACAUCCAUCUUGCUUUGUAGUCUUAAUCAACGACUUAGAAAUUAGAAAACUGUCAUCAUGUAUAAGCGAGAUCAGCUGAAACAGUAUCAUAGGUUUCGAGCCUCAGGGAGGCACAAAGAACAAAGAAUCCUGCAACGUAAGUGAAUUUAACUACUUGGAAAAGACUUACACUCUUCAUCUAGCACCAACGCAAUUUCCAAAGGAAUAUUGAAGUUGGCAGAUUCAAGCAAACUAACGAAGAGAGACAUAAUGUAGUUCGGAUUCACAAGAUUAGACUGUGUCCCUCUUGCACGUCCAUCUGUCCUCAUAAAAGACUCCAUUCCUCCUUGCACUACUCUAAAACAGCCAAUUUAUUUCUACAUAGAUUUUGUACAGUGGAAAAUUACCAAGAAAAGCAAGAAUACAAGGGCAAAACAUGCCAUUAACUCCAAAUUCGUUAUUGGACAAAUAGUAGAGCAUAAACUCUACUAAGUAGUGUAGAAGUGGAAACCUCUAAAAAACUUUUAUCCCACUUGAAAAAAAAAACAAGAUUUUAAUAAUGGUUAUAAAAUAGAUAGUUGAAAAGUUAAAUUUUAAAAGACUGCAAGAUGAGUUUUGAGCUUAAUCUACAUUCAGACUUGCUCCACUCGAGCUCGGGUUUCAGGUAUGAGUUUGGUUUUAUUGUAAAAUAAUUUUUGAUCAACCUAAUAUAAUUCUAUGCUUCUGUUAAACUGUUAAACUGUAGAUUCACAUGAUGAUGGCAACCGAGGUAUCCUUCACCAUUUCUGCACGUGUUCUGAAACUGUAGAUUCUCUGGAUAGAUGAGACUCUGCUAACCAAUUGUCUCUACAGCAAGAUUGCCAGCUUUAUCAACAACACCUUCAGAUCAGCUCCAAGAAAACCUGUUGUAACUUGGAUAAUAAAACAAGGUUAAGAGAACCCUCGAGUUCACUUUUUUGAAGCAUCCCUUUGUUAGGAUUAGUAGAGCUCACGAUGUUAGGUGCAAAUUCCAAACAAGAAAUACCUACUUCAAGUUAAAAAAUUCAUCGCAUAAAGGAAAAGAAGACUGCUUAUUGUAUACUUUGUACUUUAUACACAUAGAUUCAAGUCAACACAAUGCAAGGUGAGAUCCAGUGCCAAAACAGAUCACAGGAAGUCACCCUAGAUGUUACAGAUCAUUCAUUAAAGUUAAAGAACAGAGUAUCGUUAGAACUCACAAGAGGCUCAUCAGCCUACAACGUCACUUGAUAGGAAAAUGUCACUUUAUUUUUCUACCUUGAGAGCUUCCACGCAUAAAUUGGCUUAUGAUUUCAUCUUGAGAUUCCAAAUCCAAUAACAUCUGAACUGUAGACGAAUCCGCCGAGAAUCUUUUACCAACCAUUUCAUCAAUAAGUCGUAUAGCAGUUGAUGAGUCCUGAUUUUGAAGAAAUCCUUGAAUGAUAACAUUAUAUGAGCAACUGUCUGGCAAGAAGCCAUCAUCUUCCAUUUUUCUAAAUAAAUCGUAUGCUUCAUCUGACAGCCCUGCUUUCAGCAGUCCCUUGAUCAUGACAGUGUAUGUCCGUAUAGUAGGCCGUAUUCCAUCAGCAAAAAGCUUGGAAAACAGUUCCUUCGCAACUUCAAGCUUCCCAGCGAUAAUCAUGCCUUCAAUAAGAAUAGUACAAAGGACGAUAUCAGGUUCUAAUUUCUUCUCUUGCAUUGACUUGAGCAGUUUUAAUGCCUCAUCCAAAUAUCCAUGUUUGCAGAAGCCAUCUAGCAAAAUCGAGUAAGUCAUCAUAUCUGGAAGCAGGCCAGAAGAACACAUCUCAUUGAAAAGAUUGAGAGCUUCCUUAGGUCUUCCUAAUUGGCACAGUCCUUGCAUAAGAGUGCUGUAGGUGACAGUAUCAGGAUUCAAUGCUUUAUGAUACAUUUCAGCAAGGAGUGAUUUUGCCUCAUCCAUCCUUCUACUUUUGCAAUAUCCAUUGAUCAAGAUGUUGUAACUAUGUACAUCAGGUGCACAACCUUCGUGAAUCAUGAUUUCA